RNAcentral lists this long non-coding RNA (1392 nucleotides) under Gossypium barbadense (sea-island cotton). Its description in RNAcentral is "long non-coding RNA (GBAR_LNC000830)". Lineage: Eukaryota; Viridiplantae; Streptophyta; Magnoliopsida; Malvales; Malvaceae. The record is from RNAcentral.
UCCUGGUUCGGGGACUAUAGAGAGGAAGAAGAAGAGGAAGCCCCAAGCCCCCCAAUCUCGUGCUUUAGAAUUUUAUUAUAUAGGUCGGAUAAUCAGGUUCGAUCCGGGGUUGAAUUGUUUUAUUAUUAUAUAACAAAACAAAAUGUCUUUCAAUAGAAAGUACAGGAUUAACUCCCUAUCUUAUUUACUAAUUGUUAUUCAUUUUCAAAAUAUUUGUAUUUUUUUUCUUAAAUUUUCCACAAAAUAUUCUUUUUACAUCAUUUAAUUCUUUCAAUUGCUAUAUCAAACAUUGAGAAAAAAGGAGAAACAAAUAAAAAUGUAUUAACAUCACAUAACAUUAUAUUUUACUAACAACAAAUUGAGAUUCUUGAUGUUGGUUAUAUGUGUGCCUUCGUGAAAUGCAUGACUCACGAAGUAACGACAAAUCCCCAAGUGGAUUUCGUUGGUUCAGGCAAAGCACCUACAUCAUCCAUGCAACUAGUGUUAUCAAUUUACCUCAAACCAAACCAUUUUCCUUUAUUCUUACAAACCCAACCAUGGCAAAUAUGGUUCUUGUCGUCUACAAACCUUGAACCAUUUUCAUAAACCCAAACAUUAAACAACCGAGUGAUUGUUGUUCAUCCUAGUACUUAAACAAAACUGCCAAAAAACCCAACCCAUUUCCAUAAACUCUAAAUCAUCAAGGUGAUGAGUUGAGACACCUUACACCCGGUCUGAAACAAGACUGAAUAUAGAGUGCUGCAUCUAUUAUUGGAAUAACUCAAACGAUAAACUUACAAUCAAAACACAUAAAUUCGAGUUAAAUUUUAAUUACAAAAAAAAUACCACGUCAUGUUUUAAAAAAAUGAUUAUUUUACUUAUUUUUCAAAUAUUUUUGUUUAGAAAAUGUAUUGUAGAAAGACCUAAAGAGUAGCGUGACCAUAGUCUAAGAUUCAAUGACAUUCUAAGUUGAGUUAAAAGUGUGAGUCUCAUAAAGAAGAAGUGGUUGUUAACUGACAUUAUUUUAUAUUAUGAGAUUACCUUUAUUAAAGUGAAGAUUGCAACCUCUGCCUGCCUGCCUUCAUCAAUGCCCCAUCUUCUCUCUACCAAAUUCAACUUCAUUUUCACUUCUUCUUCUUCUUCGAGUUGUUGAAAUGGAGUCUAAUUAUUUAUUCCUGGCUUGGCAGGGGCAUCACUGAAGCCAUGGUCAGACCUUCAUUUAGUUGGCUCCCCCGUUAAAAGUACAGUAUUGUCUGUCAAACCUUAAUGUAAUAUAAAUUAAUAAGAAAGAGUUGAGCAUGCAUGCAUGUCCCAAUAGUUUUUAAUCCGUUUUGCGACAACCAUCACUCCCAUUUCAUUGUUAAUUAAGAAUCCUUCUAUUUUUAUCAGUAAUUUUGUUGAUAUUUAUCGUGG